CGUUCCCGGGUCUUGUACACACCGCCCGUCACACCACGAAAGUCAGCAACACCCGAAGCCGGUGGCCUAACCCGCAAGGGAAGGAGCCGUCGAAGGUGGGGCCGGCGAUUGGGGUG
RNAcentral lists this ribosomal RNA (116 nucleotides) under uncultured bacterium. Its description in RNAcentral is "partial 16S ribosomal RNA". It matches the Rfam family "Bacterial small subunit ribosomal RNA", at positions 1369 to 1482 of the family's 1533-position model. The record is from RNAcentral.